Small nucleolar RNA from Callithrix jacchus (white-tufted-ear marmoset), 114 nucleotides. Lineage: Eukaryota; Metazoa; Chordata; Mammalia; Primates; Cebidae. The record is from Ensembl.
AUCAUGAGCAUGAGCCACUGUGCCCAGCUGACGAUUGGGUUUUCAUGGUCAUAUGUGAGUUGUACCUUCCUCUAAACUUUGUUACAAUGACAGCGGCACAUUAUCUGUCUCAUG